GGGUUGUGAGGUUAAGCGACUAAGCGUACACGGUGGAUGCCCUGGCAGUCAGAGGCGAUGAAGGACGUGCUAAUCUGCGAUAAGCGUCGGUAAGGUGAUAUGAACCGUUAUAACCGGCGAUUUCCGAAUGGGGAAACCCAGUGUGAUUCGUCACACUAUCAUUAACUGAAUCCAUAGGUUAAUGAGGCGAACCGGGGGAACUGAAACAUCUAAGUACCCCGAGGAAAAGAAAUCAACCGAGAUUCCCCCAGUAGCGGCGAGCGAACGGGGAGCAGCCCAGAGCCUGAAUCAGUGUGUGUGUUAGUGGAAGCGUCUGGAAAGGCGCGCGAUACAGGGUGACAGCCCCGUACACAAAAAUGCACAUGCUGUGAGCUCGAUGAGUAGGGCGGGACACGUGGUAUCCUGUCUGAAUAUGGGGGGACCAUCCUCCAAGGCUAAAUACUCCUGACUGACCGAUAGUGAACCAGUACCGUGAGGGAAAGGCGAAAAGAACCCCGGCGAGGGGAGUGAAAAAGAACCUGAAACCGUGUACGUACAAGCAGUGGGAGCCUCUUUUAUGGGGUGACUGCGUACCUUUUGUAUAAUGGGUCAGCGACUUAUAUUCUGUAGCAAGGUUAACCGAAUAGGGGAGCCGAAGGGAAACCGAGUCUUAACUGGGCGUUAAGUUGCAGGGUAUAGACCCGAAACCCGGUGAUCUAGCCAUGGGCAGGUUGAAGGUUGGGUAACACUAACUGGAGGACCGAACCGACUAAUGUUGAAAAAUUAGCGGAUGACUUGUGGCUGGGGGUGAAAGGCCAAUCAAACCGGGAGAUAGCUGGUUCUCCCCGAAAGCUAUUUAGGUAGCGCCUCGUGAAUUCAUCUCCGGGGGUAGAGCACUGUUUCGGCAAGGGGGUCAUCCCGACUUACCAACCCGAUGCAAACUGCGAAUACCGGAGAAUGUUAUCACGGGAGACACACGGCGGGUGCUAACGUCCGUCGUGAAGAGGGAAACAACCCAGACCGCCAGCUAAGGUCCCAAAGUCAUGGUUAAGUGGGAAACGAUGUGGGAAGGCCCAGACAGCCAGGAUGUUGGCUUAGAAGCAGCCAUCAUUUAAAGAAAGCGUAAUAGCUCACUGGUCGAGUCGGCCUGCGCGGAAGAUGUAACGGGGCUAAACCAUGCACCGAAGCUGCGGCAGCGACGCUUAGGCGUUGUUGGGUAGGGGAGCGUUCUGUAAGCCUGCGAAGGUGUACUGUGAGGUAUGCUGGAGGUAUCAGAAGUGCGAAUGCUGACAUAAGUAACGAUAAAGCGGGUGAAAAGCCCGCUCGCCGGAAGACCAAGGGUUCCUGUCCAACGUUAAUCGGGGCAGGGUGAGUCGACCCCUAAGGCGAGGCCGAAAGGCGUAGUCGAUGGGAAACAGGUUAAUAUUCCUGUACUUGGUGUUACUGCGAAGGGGGGACGGAGAAGGCUAUGUUGGCCGGGCGACGGUUGUCCCGGUUUAAGCGUGUAGGCUGGUUUUCCAGGCAAAUCCGGAAAAUCAAGGCUGAGGCGUGAUGACGAGGCACUACGGUGCUGAAGCAACAAAUGCCCUGCUUCCAGGAAAAGCCUCUAAGCAUCAGGUAACAUCAAAUCGUACCCCAAACCGACACAGGUGGUCAGGUAGAGAAUACCAAGGCGCUUGAGAGAACUCGGGUGAAGGAACUAGGCAAAAUGGUGCCGUAACUUCGGGAGAAGGCACGCUGAUACGUAGGUGAAGUCCCUCGCGGAUGGAGCUGAAAUCAGUCGAAGAUACCAGCUGGCUGCAACUGUUUAUUAAAAACACAGCACUGUGCAAACACGAAAGUGGACGUAUACGGUGUGACGCCUGCCCGGUGCCGGAAGGUUAAUUGAUGGGGUCAGCGCAAGCGAAGCUCUUGAUCGAAGCCCCGGUAAACGGCGGCCGUAACUAUAACGGUCCUAAGGUAGCGAAAUUCCUUGUCGGGUAAGUUCCGACCUGCACGAAUGGCGUAAUGAUGGCCAGGCUGUCUCCACCCGAGACUCAGUGAAAUUGAACUCGCUGUGAAGAUGCAGUGUACCCGCGGCAAGACGGAAAGACCCCGUGAACCUUUACUAUAGCUUGACACUGAACAUUGAGCCUUGAUGUGUAGGAUAGGUGGGAGGCUUUGAAGUGUGGACGCCAGUCUGCAUGGAGCCGACCUUGAAAUACCACCCUUUAAUGUUUGAUGUUCUAACGUGGACCCGUGAUCCGGGUUGCGGACAGUGUCUGGUGGGUAGUUUGACUGGGGCGGUCUCCUCCUAAAGAGUAACGGAGGAGCACGAAGGUUGGCUAAUCCUGGUCGGACAUCAGGAGGUUAGUGCAAUGGCAUAAGCCAGCUUGACUGCGAGCGUGACGGCGCGAGCAGGUGCGAAAGCAGGUCAUAGUGAUCCGGUGGUUCUGAAUGGAAGGGCCAUCGCUCAACGGAUAAAAGGUACUCCGGGGAUAACAGGCUGAUACCGCCCAAGAGUUCAUAUCGACGGCGGUGUUUGGCACCUCGAUGUCGGCUCAUCACAUCCUGGGGCUGAAGUAGGUCCCAAGGGUAUGGCUGUUCGCCAUUUAAAGUGGUACGCGAGCUGGGUUUAGAACGUCGUGAGACAGUUCGGUCCCUAUCUGCCGUGGGCGCUGGAGAACUGAGGGGGGCUGCUCCUAGUACGAGAGGACCGGAGUGGACGCAUCACUGGUGUUCGGGUUGUCAUGCCAAUGGCACUGCCCGGUAGCUAAAUGCGGAAGAGAUAAGUGCUGAAAGCAUCUAAGCACGAAACUUGCCCCGAGAUGAGUUCUCCCUGACCCUUUAAGGGUCCUGAAGGAACGUUGAAGACGACGACGUUGAUAGGCCGGGUGUGUAAGCGCAGCGAUGCGUUGAGCUAACCGGUACUAAUGAACCGUGAGGCUUAACCUUACAACGCCGAAGGUGUUU
RNAcentral lists this ribosomal RNA (2931 nucleotides) under Escherichia coli. Its description in RNAcentral is "23S ribosomal RNA". It matches the Rfam family "Bacterial large subunit ribosomal RNA". Lineage: Bacteria; Pseudomonadati; Pseudomonadota; Gammaproteobacteria; Enterobacterales; Enterobacteriaceae. The record is from RNAcentral.